This 468-nucleotide ribosomal RNA is filed under the name uncultured bacterium. Its description in RNAcentral is "partial 16S ribosomal RNA". It matches the Rfam family "Bacterial small subunit ribosomal RNA", at positions 28 to 507 of the family's 1533-position model. The record is from RNAcentral.
GACGAACGCUGGCGGCGUGCUUAACACAUGCAAGUCGAACGGAAAGGCCCUGCUUUUGUGGGGUGCUCGAGUGGCGAACGGGUGAGUAACACGUGAGUAACCUGCCCUUGACUUUGGGAUAACUUCAGGAAACUGGGGCUAAUACCGGAUAGCAUCUCCUGCUGCAUGGUGGGGGUUGGAACGUUUCGGCGGUUGGGGAUGGACUCGCGGCUUACCAGCUUGUUGGUGGGGGAGUGGCAUACCAAGGCAUUGACGGGUAGCCGGCAUGAGAGGGUGAACGGCGACCAUGGGACUGAGAUACGGCCCAGACUCCUACGGGAGGCAGCAGUGGGGAAUAUUGCACAAUGGGAGGAAGCCUGAUGCAGCAACGCCGCGUGCGGGAUGACGGCCUUCGGGUUGUAAACCGCUUUCGCCUGUGACGAAGCGUGAGUGACGGUAAUGGGUAAAGAAGCACCGGCUAACUACGUG